GAUGAAGAACGUAGCGAAAUGCGAUAAGUAAUGUGAAUUGCAGAAUUCAGUGAAUCAUCGAAUCUUUGAACGCACAUUGCGCCCGCCAGUAUUCUGGCGGGCAUGCCUGUUCGAGCGUCAUUUCAACCAUCAAGCCCCCCGGCUUGUGUUGGGGACCUGCGGCUGCCGCAGGCCCUGAAAAGCAGUGGCGGGCUCGCUGUCACACCGAGCGUAGUAGAUCUCAUCUCGCUCAGGGCGUGCUGCGGGUUCCGGCCGUUAAACCACCUUCAUAACCCAAGGUUGACCUCGGAUCAGGUAGGAAGACCCGCUGAACUUAAGCAUAUCAAUAAGCGG
This 333-nucleotide unclassified non-coding RNA is filed under the name soil metagenome. Its description in RNAcentral is "partial contains 5.8S ribosomal RNA, internal transcribed spacer 2, and large subunit ribosomal RNA". The stretch from base 1 to 120 matches the Rfam family "5.8S ribosomal RNA", at positions 35 to 154 of the family's 154-position model. The record is from RNAcentral.